Molecule: long non-coding RNA, 544 nt
Organism: Pezoporus occidentalis (night parrot)
Lineage: Eukaryota; Metazoa; Chordata; Aves; Psittaciformes; Psittacidae
Exons: 3
Source: RefSeq, a predicted model, not a curated record
GAGAGCGGGUGGUCCCGGGGAGGGAAGGAAGCGGUCGCCGUCCCGCUGCGGUGGUGGCGGCGCAACAUGAGCCCCGUGCAGGCGGCAGCUGCUUAAAACAAGGACGGGCACAGCGAAGGCGUAGCGAGUCCCGGGCGUUUGCAGGGAAGAGGCUGUAGAGGAGGAAGAGGCUGCCAAACACACUAGGUCAACAGUGAAAAGAGAAACAAAAGUAAUCUCUGCUGCGCUUUUACUGUCUCCCAAAAUGAAGAAAGUGGAUGAGGAUUAAGCCCUGAUCUACCUCUCUGAUGUCGGAUUUCCCCAUCAGCUGUCCUGGUCCCACACCAAGCACCCUAGCUGAAAAAAAAUUACAGAUCAGAGGUGUUUAAAAGGGCCUCAGGCAUUAUUAUUUAGCCAAUCUUAGUCUAUCCAUUGCUGCUAAAUCACCUAUUUUGACAAAUAGGGAAUAUCCACUGCAGAAAUAGUCUAACUCUAUACUGACGUACGAUUUCUUUCUUUCUCCCAUUAGUGUCUUCUGUGGUGCGCAUGUGAAUUGUGAAUAUGG